CUGAAGAUUGCGGUGUGACAGUGCUCUGACUCCGUAGUAAGUAAGGACGCUACUGGAGUUGAUGUUCGGUGAUUUUGGGCGCGAGCCGUCGAUCGCUGUUCGCCAUUGCAGGCAUGACAAGAGGGUUUAGAGUUGCACGGAAUCGAAUCC
Molecule: long non-coding RNA, 150 nt
Organism: Lampris incognitus (smalleye Pacific opah)
Lineage: Eukaryota; Metazoa; Chordata; Actinopteri; Lampriformes; Lampridae
Exons: 3
Source: RefSeq, a predicted model, not a curated record